RNAcentral lists this ribosomal RNA (481 nucleotides) under uncultured bacterium. RNAcentral's name for it is "bacterial SSU rRNA". It matches the Rfam family "Bacterial small subunit ribosomal RNA", at positions 33 to 507 of the family's 1533-position model. The record is from RNAcentral.
GACACGCUGGCGGCGUGCCUAACACAUGCAAGUCGAGCGGAGUCGAUCGACGGAAGCCUUCGGGCGGAAGAUGGUUGACUUAGCGGCGGAUGGGUGAGUGACGCGUGGGCAACCUGCCUCGAAGACCGGGAUAACAGCCCGAAAGGGCUGCUAAUACCGGAUGUGGUCAAGGAUCCGCAUGGAUUUUUGAUUAAAGGGGAAACCCGUUUCGAGAUGGGCCCGCGUCCUAUCAGCUAGUUGGUGAGGUAAAAGCUCACCAAGGCGACGACGGGUAGCCGGCCUGAGAGGGUGACCGGCCACACUGGAACUGAGACACGGUCCAGACUCCUACGGGGGGCAGCAGUGGGGAAUCUUCCACAAUGGGCGAAAGCCUGAUGGAGCGACGCCGCGUGAGCGAAGAAGGCCUUCGGGUUGUAAAGCUCUGUCUGGAGGGACGAAGGAAGUGACGGUACCUCCGGAGGAAGCCACGGCUAACUACGUG